CCAGACUCCUACGGGAGGCAGCAGUGGGGAAUAUUGGGCAAUGGGCGCAAGCCUGACCUAGCAACGCCGCGUGAAGGAAGAAGGCUUUCGGGUUGUAAACUUCUUUUGACAGGGAAGAGUAGAAGACGGUACCCGUCGAAUAAGCCACGGCUAACUACGUGCCAGCAGCCGCGGUAAUACGUAGGUGGCAAGCGUUAUCCGGAUUUACUGGGUGUAAAGGGCGUGUAGGCGGGAGAGCAAGUCAGACGUGAAAUUCCAGGGCUCAACCCUGGAACUGCGUUUGAAACUGUUCUUCUUGAGUGAUGGAGAGGCAGGCGGAACUCCGUGUGUAGCGGUGAAAUGCGUAGAUAUACGGAGGAACACCAGUGGCGAAGGCGGCCUGCUGGACAUUAACUGACGCUGAGGCGCGAAAGCGUGGGGAGCAAACAGGAUUAGAUACCCUCGUACA
RNAcentral lists this ribosomal RNA (448 nucleotides) under uncultured bacterium. RNAcentral's name for it is "bacterial SSU rRNA". It matches the Rfam family "Bacterial small subunit ribosomal RNA", at positions 331 to 794 of the family's 1533-position model. The record is from RNAcentral.